This is a long non-coding RNA of Melospiza georgiana, 382 nucleotides long. RefSeq lists it as uncharacterized. The record is from RefSeq and is a predicted model, not a curated record. The transcript has 7 exons. NCBI's taxonomy places the organism in Eukaryota, Metazoa, Chordata, Aves, Passeriformes, Passerellidae.
UCACGGUUAGGAGGUGCUGGGCAUUCCUAGGAGCGCGCUGUCUGAGAGACACCAGCCUGGUGCUAGCAGGACCUUCCAAGUUUUAGGAAGUCAAGGCAGAGAGCAGCUGUCAAGGCUGAGUGGGCAAGAUGGACUGCUUGCCAUCUACCCUAGCCCAGCAUGCCCAUGCCAGGUGCUGUCGCUGCCCUAGUCAUGCCGGGGAAGAGAGGAGGGCAGGUAUCUUCCGGGCGGCCUCUGGAGUCAAACCAAGACUUGAGGUACCCUGGGGAGGCUUGUAGCCACAGCUUGGAAGCGGCAGCACCGAAGCACACAGAUUGAGAACAUCUCAACGUGCACGUCCGACCGAGGAUGGAUUUUGUCCACUUGUCUUCCAAAAGCUAAG